UACGGGGGGGGCAAGCGUUGUUCGGAAUUACUGGGCGUAAAGGGCUCGUAGGCGGCCAACUAAGUCAUACGUGAAAUCCCCCGGCUUAACCGGGGAACUGCGUCUGAUACUGGAUGGCUUGAGUUCGGGAGAGGGAUGCGGAAUUCCAGGUGUAGCGGUGAAAUGCGUAGAUAUCUGGAGGAACACCGGUGGCGAAGGCGGCAUCCUGGACCGAUACUGACGCUGAGGAGCGAAAGCCAGGGGAGCAAAACGGGAA
Molecule: ribosomal RNA, 256 nt
Filed under: uncultured bacterium
Lineage: Bacteria
Description: partial 16S ribosomal RNA
Rfam family: Bacterial small subunit ribosomal RNA
Source: RNAcentral